This 257-nucleotide ribosomal RNA is filed under the name uncultured bacterium. RNAcentral's name for it is "partial 16S ribosomal RNA". It matches the Rfam family "Bacterial small subunit ribosomal RNA", at positions 1247 to 1500 of the family's 1533-position model. The record is from RNAcentral.
AAGCAGCCCCGCGAGGGUGAGCAAACCACAGAAACGGCGUCCCAGUUCGGAUUGCAGCCUGCAACUCGGCUGCAUGAAGCUGGAAUCGCUAGUAAUCGCGGAUCAGAAUGCCGCGGUGAAUACGUUCCCGGGUCUUGUACACACCGCCCGUCACACCAUGGGAGUCGGGAAUGCCCGAAGUCAGUGACCCCAACCGGAAAGGGGGGGAGCUGCCGAAGGCAGGCCUGGUAACUGGGGUGAAGUCGUAACAAGGUAUC